This is a transfer RNA of Camelus ferus (Wild Bactrian camel), 73 nucleotides long. It matches the Rfam family "tRNA". From Rfam's summary of the family: Transfer RNA (tRNA) molecules are approximately 80 nucleotides in length. Their secondary structure includes four short double-helical elements and three loops (D, anti-codon, and T loops). The record is from Rfam. Lineage: Eukaryota; Metazoa; Chordata; Mammalia; Artiodactyla; Camelidae.
GAGGGUAUAGCUCAAGUGGUAGAGCACAUGCUUAGCAUACACAAGGUCCUGGGUUCAAUCCCCAGUACCUCCU